RNAcentral lists this ribosomal RNA (679 nucleotides) under uncultured bacterium. Its description in RNAcentral is "bacterial SSU rRNA". It matches the Rfam family "Bacterial small subunit ribosomal RNA", at positions 111 to 788 of the family's 1533-position model. The record is from RNAcentral.
UAACGCGUAUCCAACCUUCCGUACACUCAGGGAUAGCCUUUCGAAAGAAAGAUUAAUACCUGAUGGUAUGAUGAGAUUGCAUGAUAGCAUCAUUAAAGAUUUAUCGGUGUACGAUGGGGAUGCGUUCCAUUAGGUAGUAGGCGGGGUAACGGCCCACCUAGCCAACGAUGGAUAGGGGUUCUGAGAGGAAGGUCCCCCACAUUGGAACUGAGACACGGUCCAAACUCCUACGGGAGGCAGCAGUGAGGAAUAUUGGUCAAUGGACGAGAGUCUGAACCAGCCAAGUAGCGUGAAGGAUGAAGGUCCUACGGAUUGUAAACUUCUUUUAUAAGGGAAUAAACCCUCCCACGUGUGGGAGCUUGUAUGUACCUUAUGAAUAAGCAUCGGCUAACUCCGUGCCAGCAGCCGCGGUAAUACGGAGGAUGCGAGCGUUAUCCGGAUUUAUUGGGUUUAAAGGGAGCGCAGACGGGUCGUUAAGUCAGCUGUGAAAGUUUGGGGCUCAACCUUAAAAUUGCAGUUGAUACUGGCGUCCUUGAGUGCGGUUGAGGUGUGCGGAAUUCGUGGUGUAGCGGUGAAAUGCUUAGAUAUCACGAAGAACUCCGAUUGCGAAGGCAGCACACUAAUCCGUAACUGACGUUCAUGCUCGAAAGUGUGGGUAUCAAACAGGAUUAGAUACCCU